UAGUCCACGCCGUAAACGAUGGUUACUAGCUGUUUGGACUAAUUGAGGUCUAAGUGGCCAAGCGAAAGUGAUAAGUAACCCACCUGGGGAGUACGUUCGCAAGAAUGAAACUCAAAGGAAUUGACGGGGGCCCGCACAAGCGGUGGAGCAUGUUGUUUAAUUCGACGCAACGCGAAGAACCUUACCUACACUUGACAUACUCGUCGGGACUUUCAGAGAUGAUUGUCUUCGGUUCGGCCGGACGAUGUACAGGUGCUGCACGGCUGUCGUCAGCUCGUGUCGUGAGAUGUUUGGUUAAGUCCAGCAACGAGCGCAACCCCUAUUGUUAGUUGCCAGCAUUAAGUUGGGGACUCUAGCAAGACUGCCGGCGUAAGCCGCGAGGAAGGUGGGGACGACGUCAAAUCAUCAUGGCCUUUAUGCCUAGGGCUACACACGUGCUACAAUGGUGCAUACAGAGGGUAGCGAAGCAGCGAUGCGGAGCCAAUCUCAGAAAGUGCAUCCC
This 502-nucleotide ribosomal RNA is filed under the name uncultured bacterium. Its description in RNAcentral is "bacterial SSU rRNA". It matches the Rfam family "Bacterial small subunit ribosomal RNA", at positions 791 to 1289 of the family's 1533-position model. The record is from RNAcentral.